GCGGAAGUGGCGGAACUGGCAGACGCGCUAGAUUCAGGGUCUAGUGGGAAUUCCUCUCGUGGGGGUUCAAAUCCCCCCUUCCGCACCA
RNAcentral lists this transfer RNA (88 nucleotides) under Calorimonas adulescens. Its description in RNAcentral is "Thermoanaerobacteraceae bacterium A05MB tRNA-Leu". It matches the Rfam family "tRNA". From Rfam's summary of the family: Transfer RNA (tRNA) molecules are approximately 80 nucleotides in length. The record is from RNAcentral. Lineage: Bacteria; Bacillati; Bacillota; Clostridia; Thermoanaerobacterales; Thermoanaerobacteraceae.